AUCCAAUGUUGCAAAACAACAAGUUAUUCCUGAGAUUCUCUUGAAGAAUUACAAAAUUGAGCUUUUUAACGCUUAUGGUUA
This is a non-coding RNA of Hordeum vulgare subsp. vulgare (domesticated barley), 81 nucleotides long. Lineage: Eukaryota; Viridiplantae; Streptophyta; Magnoliopsida; Poales; Poaceae. The record is from Rfam.